Molecule: transfer RNA, 74 nt
Organism: Loxodonta africana (African savanna elephant)
Lineage: Eukaryota; Metazoa; Chordata; Mammalia; Proboscidea; Elephantidae
Rfam family: tRNA
About the family: Transfer RNA (tRNA) molecules are approximately 80 nucleotides in length. Their secondary structure includes four short double-helical elements and three loops (D, anti-codon, and T loops).
Source: Rfam
GUCUCUGUGGCGCAAUUGGUUAGCACGUUCGGCUCUUAACCAAAAGGUUGGUGGUUCGAGCUCACCCAGGGAGA